GCGGUGAAAUGCGUAGAUAUUAGGAGGAACACCGGUGGCGAAGGCGCCACUCUGGGCCGAAACUGACGCUGAGGAGCGAAAGCAUGGGUAGCAAACAGGAUUAGAUACCCUGGUAGUCCAUGCCGUAAACGUUGGGCACUAGGUGUGGGUUCCAACCAACGGAAUCCGCGCCGUCGCUAACGCAUUAAGUGCCCCGCCUGGGGAGUACGGCCGCAAGGUUAAAACUCAAAGGAAUUGACGG
Molecule: ribosomal RNA, 241 nt
Filed under: uncultured bacterium
Lineage: Bacteria
Description: partial 16S ribosomal RNA
Rfam family: Bacterial small subunit ribosomal RNA
Source: RNAcentral